RNAcentral lists this ribosomal RNA (834 nucleotides) under Microbacterium keratanolyticum. RNAcentral describes it as "bacterial SSU rRNA". It matches the Rfam family "Bacterial small subunit ribosomal RNA", at positions 67 to 908 of the family's 1533-position model. The record is from RNAcentral. Lineage: Bacteria; Bacillati; Actinomycetota; Actinomycetes; Micrococcales; Microbacteriaceae.
CGGUGAAGCAGGAGCUUGCUUCCUUGUGGAUCAGUGGCGAACGGGUGAGUAACACGUGAGCAACCUGCCCCGGACUCUGGGAUAAGCGCUGGAAACGGCGUCUAAUACUGGAUACGAGUAGCGACCGCAUGGUCAGCUAUUGGAAAGAAUUUCGGUCUGGGAUGGGCUCGCGGCCUAUCAGCUUGUUGGUGAGGUAAUGGCUCACCAAGGCGUCGACGGGUAGCCGGCCUGAGAGGGUGACCGGCCACACUGGGACUGAGACACGGCCCAGACUCCUACGGGAGGCAGCAGUGGGGAAUAUUGCACAAUGGGCGCAAGCCUGAUGCAGCAACGCCGCGUGAGGGAUGACGGCCUUCGGGUUGUAAACCUCUUUUAGUAGGGAAGAAGCGAAAGUGACGGUACCUGCAGAAAAAGCGCCGGCUAACUACGUGCCAGCAGCCGCGGUAAUACGUAGGGCGCAAGCGUUAUCCGGAAUUAUUGGGCGUAAAGAGCUCGUAGGCGGUUUGUCGCGUCUGCUGUGAAAUCUGGGGGCUCAACCCCCAGCCUGCAGUGGGUACGGGCAGACUAGAGUGCGGUAGGGGAGAUUGGAAUUCCUGGUGUAGCGGUGGAAUGCGCAGAUAUCAGGAGGAACACCGAUGGCGAAGGCAGAUCUCUGGGCCGUAACUGACGCUGAGGAGCGAAAGGGUGGGGAGCAAACAGGCUUAGAUACCCUGGUAGUCCACCCCGUAAACGUUGGGAACUAGUUGUGGGGUCCAUUCCACGGAUUCCGUGACGCAGCUAACGCAUUAAGUUCUCCGCCUGGUGAGUACGGCCGCAAGGCUGAUACUCACAGGA